CCCGUGGUACUCAAAAGCGCUCAUUCCAUAAGCCUUGUUGAAUGGAAUCCCACCAUCAAGAAUUGCAUCUUUCAAAUGGUACCUGAAACAAGUAUCGUUGGUAUGAGUUUAAGAAAACACACACAUUCACACAAAGCUUAAUCUAACCGUUUUUAUUUAUCACUAGUUAGGAUAUUUUUUUUAUAAAUUGAUCUCCAGAUAAUCUAUUGAUCAGACUUGAUCCACCUGAGGUUGAUUAUAAUUGGUUAUCAUGAUAGAGCUGCCGGUAUGCAAAGAGAACCAGCCGGUUUGAAAUUAUGUUUCUAUAUUCCUUUGCUAGCUGCUAAAUAACCGGAAGACCGGUUCUCUUCUUAUUAUAGUUUCCUUAAAUGAUCCUCAGUAAAGGGAAGAACAAUUACAUCUUCUCUAUUUAGAACCAUGAAACACGUUGACAAGAAAAUGAAACACAAAAUAAAAUAAUAAUAAUAGAGUGUUUUCUGCAAAAAAAAAACCUCUACAUUGAAUACAACAAAAAUAUUUAAAGCUAUGAAACAACUAGAGUACAGAGUGUGUUUUUUAAUUUUCCUCUUAUUAUUUUGUAUAGUACUAGCAAACAAAAAUUUCAACGAUAGAGCUCGCUUAACCACUAAAAAUGUUAUAUAGUUUUUUAGUGGAAGCAGAUAUAGAAAACGUGUCAACGCAUCAUUUUGUCUGAUUGUCUAUGACACUUUGUGGCCGAGUCUCUCUCAUCUUUACCUUUGCACAAUUCAAUUUUAAUCAUCACAUGAUUCACAUCAACCAAGAACCAUAGCUUAUGAAACAAAAUUAUCAAAGAAGAAGCUUUUUUUUUCUAACUUGAUAUAGCCACAAGAUCUAUCCAAUGAAGAUGUCUUGGUAAUAUCUUAAAAAACUUACCAGCUUUCCAUGAGAACCUUGUCUUGGUUCAUAAGACAAAGAGCAGCUAUAGAGACACCAUCUUCGUUCUUGGUCAAGUACUUGCAAACCGGACCAAGCCCGUAAAUCCUCUCGACGCUGUCUCCGCCGGGAAUGGUUCGGUUGGAGCAGGUGAGGAUGGAGUAAGACGUGAGAAGACGGAGGAUUCGGUCGAGCAUGACCGGAGCUUCGGGGUUUUUGGUCUGAAGUUUAGAAGCAAUCUCAGAUGGAGACAUCGGAGAAGAGUUCUUGGCCAUGAUCUCGAGAAGAUCAAGGUCUAAGGCGGACUUUAAAACCAUGGGAAGAACGGAGGCGCUGGCUAGCUGCAUGGCAAAGAGAGCGGCUUCGUCGUCGGUGACUUGUACCGGAGUUAUCUGUGUCUCCGCCGUUGAUCCCAUUUUUCUUGGAUUCUCUAAGAUAUUCUUGGGAUGUUUCUUUUUCUUUUGUUUCUUUGUUUUGAGAGGAGUGUGUGAUGGGUGAGAAGUAGGACGUUAAGAGGUUUAUUUAUAUGAAAAUAUAUUAUAAGAAGGUAGACAAGUGGCAUUUUUUUUUAACUCAAGUUUCUGAUCUAGCUUAAUUACAUGGUCCAAUUGAAUGAAAACAAUUCAGAACUUUUUUGUAUUUUAUAAGAGAGCCCGCUAUUUGUGAAGUAUUUCAUUUACGAUCCCUUCUACAGAAACAACUACACUUUAUUAUGUGCAUAUAUUUCAUCCAUACCCUUUAAACAUUGGAAAUGGUGAUUCAUUAUGCUGGCCCAUACCGACUUUAACGUAUUUUGUUAUAUUGAAUAUGUUAAACUUUCUAUAAAUUUCGGUAGCAGUAACUAGUCUUCCAUUUUUAGCGAGGACUUUAGCGAGUACUUGACAAUUCUAUGUACUGCUAACUUUUGUUUUUAACAAAGCAGAUUAUAUCUAAAAUUAAUCAUAACUUUUUUAAAGUUUGCAUCACUCUUACAUUUAUUAUUCUUACUAAAAAAACUGCGUCAAAUUUUUUCUUAAGUGUUAAUAAGUCAUAUAUAACCUAUAAGCUCACCAUCAAUUUUUUUUCUAUAGCAUAUCAGAUUUUGUCUACUAAAAACUUAAAAAGAAAUUUGUCAUCAAAGUUUUCUAACAAAAAAAAAAGAAUAUAUCCUAAGUUUGAUUUAAAACCGAUGAUAAAUUCAUAAUUGGUUUUAGAUUUUCAAUGUUUAACUGUUUAGCUUAAUUAAUAACAGUUAUACAAAAUAGAUUUAUAAAUAAAACAAAAAACUGUUAAACUAUAAAAAUCAAGAUACAAAAAAUGAAUGAGUAGAUGCGUUAAGGGGAAAAUGAAAAUAUGUUAACUACUAAUUAAGAAUGUGUGGAUUUUAUGUAUCAUGAAAACUAUAGAAAAUAAAUUUAUUAAUGAUCUUAACCAGAAACUAAUACACUAAAAACUAUUAAUUGAAAACUAUCUUAGAAUUAUAAACCGUUCAGAAAGAAAAAAAGGACCACUUUAAAAUUAGAUACAUCAAUAAAUAAAUAAGAAAAUCGCAUAAAAAAACUUUGAAAAUGUUAGUUACUAACACUUUAAACUUUGAAAUUUUUUCAUUAAUACUUUUAACUUUCAAAAUGACAUUUAUAUCACAAAAACUUCCAAAGUAAAAAAUUGACCUCUUGAACAAGUAAAAAAAUGAUGUCAGUUUUUUUUAAAAUAAUUAUUUAAUUAAUAAGACUAACAAAAAACUAAAUAAAAACCAGAAAAUUAAAUAAAAAUAGAAAAGUAAUAAACCUUAUAAAAUAAAUAAAAAUUCAGAAAAUAAAUUAAAUAUUAGAAAAUUAAAAAAAAAAAAAUCAUAAAUUUUAAAAUAAAUUUGAAAAUUCAAAAGUUUGAAUAAAAAAGUUUGUUUCCAUUUUCAACAGUGAUGUCGAAAAUAAUUAUUGGAGAUAUGCAAAAAAUAGUCAUUGUUAAUGGUUAUAUGAGAAACUAUCAAUGUCACUAGUGAUAUAUUUGGAAAUUUUAUUUUCACGAUGAUAUGGUAUAUUUUUUUAAAAAAAAUCUUAUAAUUAAAAAACUAUUUUAAUUUUUGAAUUUUCUAAAUUUUAUAAUUUUUUUGAAAUUUAUGAAUUUUUAUUUAGUUAUUCUGUAUUUUAAUUUUAUUUUAUUUAUUAUGGAAUUUUUAGUUAUUUUAUUUUUCUUUAAUUUUAAAUAUUUAUUUAGUUUUCCGAAAUUUUAUUUAUUUUUUUUAGUUUUCGGAAUUUUAUUAAAUUGUUCGAUUUUUAAUUUUUUGAAUUUUUAUUUAAUUUUUUUGUUUAUUUUAUUUAUUAAAUCAUUAUUUUGAAAAAAAAACUUACACAUCAUUUUUUACAUGUUCAACAGGUCAAUUUUUUACUUUAGAGAUUUUUAUGAUAUAAAUGUCAUUUUGAAAAUUAAAAGCAAAGUUUUUAAAUCUGACCCGGACACUGAACCAGACGACUUACCGGAUUGUUGGGUUACUAGGUCGACCACGGGUGAACCGCGGAUUAAUAAAUAAAUAAAAUUUAUUAUAUAAUAAUAUAUUAGGUAUGUAAAUAUAAAUAUAGAAACUAAAUUUUAAUAUUUUCUAAAAAAAAAUUAAAACAUAAAAUAAUAGUUUGGAUAUGUAUAUAUUUUAUGUUUAAAAACUUUUAGAAAAUACUUAAAUUUUCUUUUAUAUUUUUAUUUUCAUUUGACAUACAAAAUAUCAAAAAGUAGUUUAGACUAUUUAAAAAUUUCUCCAACAAAGUAAGAUUUACGACAUUUAAAAAAAUCAAGACAUAAAAUUUAUAAAUAUUUAAAUAUCUAAUUGAAUAAUAAAUUAAACUUCAAAUACAAAAUAAACCAAAAGUAAAAGAUCAUUGUAAUAAAAUGUCAAUACCGCUUCUGUGUCUGUUAUAGAGAUAUAUUUAUGGUUUUUUGGUAUAAAAUCGAAUAAACCGAAAACCGACGGUAUAUAAACCGAACCGAACCGAAGUAAAUAUGGAUUUAGAAUGGUAGUUAUAUUUUACUAACCAAAAUACCGAAAACCGAAAAAAACCGAACCUAAACCGAACCGAUAUCCGGAUUGAACACCCCUAUAAUAUAUAAGGGAUUAUUAAACAUCAUAGUUUUAAAACAAAGACGGUGAAGUAGACGUACAUAAGAGCAUUGUUUACAUAUAAAAUCAUUAUUACAUGGAUUGUGCGUGUGUGUUUUACAUCUUUUUGAGCAGCUCAAUAACGUAAACACCAAAAGCAUUGCAGGCAACAUUGAUGCCUUUGAAGCCUGAUCCUUUAGCUAAUGCCUCGAACUCUUUCUCGGUCCGUUCUUUGCCUCCAGGGUUAUGAGCCAACAUAAUGCAAUCAACAUGGACUACUUGUUUGGUCGAGAGGCUUGAGUCUGGUGUCUCUGGAAGUAUACACUCUGCUAGUAUCACUUUUCCAUCCUCUGGAAGCGCCUCGUAGCAGUUCUUCAAGAAUUUCACGCAGUGUUCAUCGCUCCAGUCGUGGCAUAUCCACUGUUACAACAAUGAAACAAAUCAAAACGUUUUGAGAUUUAAUUUCCUUGAUUAAUUACUUAUAAAUGUCAAAAGAGUUUUCGGUAUAGGAGCUUUGGUUAUUACUAACCUUCAUGAAAAUAGCAUCACCUUUAGGGACGCUUACAAACAUAUCUCCUCCAACAUGAUCAAUACCUGUAUUAAAUUUAACAAUUAAUCAAAUCUCUUAAUCAUAUGUAAAUGAAAUCAUAUAUAGUAUUGUGAAAUGUUAGGAAAAUGUAAUAUACCGGGAUGAGAAGUAGCUUCUUCAAUGACAUGUGGGAGAUCAAAGUUGAUGCCUUUAAGGUCAGGGUACUUAGAGACGAUCAUUUUGAGAGUAGCACCAAUGCCACCACCAACGUCAACCAAAGAAGUCAAACCCUCAAAACCCUUGUAGGUCUCGAGAAUCUUCUUCAUUGUGAUGGUUGAAUGGUUAGACAUUCCAUUGUUGAAGACCGUGUUGAACCUUAGAUCCUUCCCGUGGUACUCAAAAGCGCUCAUUCCAUAAGCCUUGUUGAAUGGAAUCCCACCAUCAAGAACUGCAUCUUUCAAAUGGUACCUGAAACAAGUAUCGUUGGUAUGAGUUUAAGAAAACACACACAUUCACACAAAGCUUAAUCUAACCGUUUUUAUUUAUCACUAGUUAGGAUAUUUUUUUUAUAAAUUGAUCUCCAGAUAAUCUAUUGAUCAGACUUGAUCCACCUGAGGUUGAUUAUAAUUGGUUAUCAUGAUAGAGCUGCCGGUAUGCAAAGAGAACCAGCCGGUUUGAAAUUAUGUUUCUAUAUUCCUUUGCUAGCUGCUAAAUAAUCGGAAGACCGGUUCUCUUCUUAUUAUAGUUUCCUUAAAUGAUCCUCAAUAAAGGGAAGAACAAUUACAUCUUCUCUAUUUAGAACCAUGAAACACGUUGACAAGAAAAUGAAACACAAAAUAAAAUAAUAAUAAUAGAGUGUUUUCUGCAAAAAAAAAACCUCUACAUUGAAUACAACAAAAAUAUUUAAAGCUAUGAAACAACUAGAGUACAGAGUGUGUUUUUUAAUUUUCCUCUUAUUAUUUUGUAUAGUACUAGCAAACAAAAAUUUCAACGAUAGAGCUCGCUUAACCACUAAAAAUGUUAUAUAGUUUUUUAGUGGAAGCAGAUAUAGAAAACGUGUCAACGCAUCAUUUUGUCUGAUUGUCUAUGACACUUUGUGGCCGAGUCUCUCUCAUCUUUACCUUUGCACAAUUCAAUUUUAAUCAUCACAUGAUUCACAUCAACCAAGAACCAUAGCUUAUGAAACAAAAUUAUCAAAGAAGAAGCUUUUUUUUUCUAACUUGAUAUAGCCACAAGAUCUAUCCAAUGAAGAUGUCUUGGUAAUAUCUUAAAAAACUUACCAGCUUUCCAUGAGAACCUUGUCUUGGUUCAUAAGACAAAGAGCAGCUAUAGAGACACCAUCUUCGUUCUUGGUCAAGUACUUGCAAACCGGACCAAGCCCGUAAAUCCUCUCGACGCUGUCUCCGCCGGGAAUGGUUCGGUUGGAGCAGGUGAGGAUGGAGUAAGACGUGAGAAGACGGAGGAUUCGGUCGAGCAUGACCGGAGCUUCGGGGUUUUUGGUCUGAAGUUUAGAAGCAAUCUCAGAUGGAGACAUCGGAGAAGAGUUCUUGGCCAUGAUCUCGAGAAGAUCAAG
This 6066-nucleotide long non-coding RNA is filed under the name Brassica napus (rape). RNAcentral's name for it is "long non-coding RNA (BNAP_LNC002181)". The record is from RNAcentral. Lineage: Eukaryota; Viridiplantae; Streptophyta; Magnoliopsida; Brassicales; Brassicaceae.